This 253-nucleotide ribosomal RNA is filed under the name uncultured bacterium. RNAcentral describes it as "partial 16S ribosomal RNA". It matches the Rfam family "Bacterial small subunit ribosomal RNA", at positions 524 to 776 of the family's 1533-position model. The record is from RNAcentral.
GACAGAGGUCCCGAGCGUUAGGCGGAAUCACUGGGCUUAAAGCGUGUGUAGGCGGAUCGUUAAGUACCUUGUGAAAUCCCACGGCUCACCCGUGGAACUGCCCGGCAUACUGCGAUGCUAGAGUGUGGUAGGGGAGAGCGGAACUCCUGGUGGAGCGGUGAAAUGCGUAGAUAUCAGGAGGAACACCGGUGGCGAAGGCGGCUCUCUGGUCCACAACUGACGCUGAGGUGCGAAAGCGUGGGGAGCGAACAGG